GUUGAGGCGUUGGUUUUUCCGACAGUUGGAAGCUGUGUAACUGAUUAAGAAAACCUGUCGUUUUCACUUUUCGAAACUACACUCAAUGCAGUUAUAGGGACUUUAACUUGGUGUCGUUUAGUGUCUGAAAUAGUCAACUGUGUGUCGUUUUUGUGAAAUUCUUUUAUCCUGGCCAGUACGAGCUUUGGUGAAGUGUAUACACAUCAAAUAAAGUGUGCACAAAAAAAACAAUGUAGAAAGGAGAACUCGUCUUGUGAGAACAAGUAUUACGCAUGCUUCCAGAAGCUACAUCAAAGGAAACUGAACUUCGCAAUCUUAAGAAAGUUAAAGAGUGCUGUCGAUAGAAAUGCAUAUUUCAUUUGCUCUGUUAAAAAAAACAGCUCAGAAACAUGUAACAGCUAACAAGUAGUACAAAUCCUCAUCUCACACACGAUAAAUAGUUUAUAAAGCAAACACAAAGGGAAAACAAUACUUCCUGAAAAUUGUAAUCGCGAAGUACUAAGAGUUUAAAUAUAGAAUCUUAAAGGAAGAGUAAUACCGAAAACAAGAACUAAGAAGAAAAGG
This is a long non-coding RNA of Brassica rapa (field mustard), 564 nucleotides long. RefSeq lists it as uncharacterized. Lineage: Eukaryota; Viridiplantae; Streptophyta; Magnoliopsida; Brassicales; Brassicaceae. The record is from RefSeq and is a predicted model, not a curated record.